Molecule: ribosomal RNA, 499 nt
Filed under: uncultured bacterium
Lineage: Bacteria
Description: partial 16S ribosomal RNA
Rfam family: Bacterial small subunit ribosomal RNA
Source: RNAcentral
GAUAAACGCUGGCGGCGUGCCUAAUACAUGCAAGUCGAGCGAACAGACGAGAGUGCUUGCACUCUCUGACGUUAGCGGCGGACGGGUGAGUAACACGUGGGUAACCUACCUAUAAGACUGGGAUAACUUCGGGAAACCGGAGCUAAUACCGGAUAAUAUUUAGCUUCGCAUGAAGCAAUAGUGAAAGACGGUUCUGCUGUCACUUAUAGAUGGACCCGCGGUGUAUUAGCUAGUUGGUGAGGUAACGGCUCACCAAGGCAACGAUACAUAGCCGACCUGAGAGGGUGAUCGGCCACACUGGGACUGAGACACGGCCCAGACUCCUACGGGAGGCAGCAGUAGGGAAUCUUCCGCAAUGGACGAAAGUCUGACGGAGCAAUGCCGCGUGAGUGAAGAAGGUUUUCGGAUCGUAAAACUCUGUUGUAAGGGAAGAACAAGUACGUUAGUAACUGAACGUACCUUGACGGUACCUUACCAGAAAGCCACGGCUAACUACGUG